Molecule: ribosomal RNA, 699 nt
Filed under: Pseudomonas sp.
Lineage: Bacteria; Pseudomonadati; Pseudomonadota; Gammaproteobacteria; Pseudomonadales; Pseudomonadaceae
Description: bacterial SSU rRNA
Rfam family: Bacterial small subunit ribosomal RNA
Source: RNAcentral
ACACAUGCAAGUCGAGCGGAUGAGAGGAGCUUGCUCCUGGAUUCAGCGGCGGACGGGUGAGUAAUGCCUAGGAAUCUGCCUGGUAGUGGGGGACAACGUUUCGAAAGGAACGCUAAUACCGCAUACGUCCUACGGGAGAAAGCAGGGGACCUUCGGGCCUUGCGCUAUCAGAUGAGCCUAGGUCGGAUUAGCUAGUUGGUGAGGUAAUGGCUCACCAAGGCGACGAUCCGUAACUGGUCUGAGAGGAUGAUCAGUCACACUGGAACUGAGACACGGUCCAGACUCCUACGGGAGGCAGCAGUGGGGAAUAUUGGACAAUGGGCGAAAGCCUGAUCCAGCCAUGCCGCGUGUGUGAAGAAGGUCUUCGGAUUGUAAAGCACUUUAAGUUGGGAGGAAGGGCAGUAAAUUAAUACUUUGCUGUUUUGACGUUACCGACAGAAUAAGCACCGGCUAACUCUGUGCCAGCAGCCGCGGUAAUACAGAGGGUGCAAGCGUUAAUCGGAAUUACUGGGCGUAAAGCGCGCGUAGGUGGUUCGUUAAGUUGGAUGUGAAAUCCCCGGGCUCAACCUGGGAACUGCAUUCAAAACUGUCGAGCUAGAGUAUGGUAGAGGGUGGUGGAAUUUCCUGUGUAGCGGUGAAAUGCGUAGAUAUAGGAAGGAACACCAGUGGCGAAGGCGACCACCUGGACUGAUACUGACA